Eriocheir sinensis (Chinese mitten crab) is the source of this 2790-nucleotide long non-coding RNA. RefSeq lists it as uncharacterized. NCBI's taxonomy places the organism in Eukaryota, Metazoa, Arthropoda, Malacostraca, Decapoda, Varunidae. The record is from RefSeq and is a predicted model, not a curated record. The transcript is spliced from 3 exons.
UGAGUCUCAACAACAACAACACCCAUCAAAAUGUUUAAGUGGCAAAUGCUGUACAGGUAACUCUCGAUUUACGCGAGUUUGGUUUACGCGUUUUUGAAAUACCGCGUGGUCCAAAAUACAAAUAAAUGUUUAAUUUACACGUUUUCUUUCACUUAAACGCGAUAUUUUCUGGAGUGUCCACCAGAUGUCUCACGCAACUGGACUCACACGGCCACACAGCUGAGCUCAGUUCUUCCCGCGCGCCACUUGAACAACAAUACAGUACCCACGCUGCUCAACAACAACAACACCCUCGCUGCUGUGCUACCAUGAGGGGAAGGGCAGCCAGAGGAGGAACCACGAGAGGGAGAGGAGUCAGAGUGAUACAGUGGGCAAUAAAGGUACAAACCGACCUCUUCUUGGAUUUACAUCGUUUUUGAUUUACGCGAUGACCUCUUCAAGGACACAAUACUCCCGUAAAUCAAGAGUUACCUGUACCAUUUUACUUACUGCUAAAAAUUUCCCUGAUCCCUUGAUUCAGAUUAAUUAAAAGAAUCCAACUACAAAUAGGUGUUUAUCAUACAUUAAUAAAAAUUGAUCACAGAAAUCUCUAAAUGGCAGAGACUGAAGUAGAAUUAUUGAAUAGCGUACAGCAAUCGUUGGGUUAAGACAGUCUCGCCCUACGACAUUUUUUAUUUUUUUUAUUUUUACGUGUAAGCCUAUAGCCCUGGUAGGCUUGCUUGAGGGGCCUGGAUGGUAGUUGGCCCCAGCCCGUCAUGGCGCAGACAAGUGUUUAUAGUGGCGCCAUCUUCUCUUGGCUCAUGCUGCCCCCCGGAACCCCUUCUUGAUUCACUUGGACGGUUUCCUCUAGAGUCCGGGUUGAUGGGUGGUCUUCAGGACAGCAUGUGGGUAGUUUUAAGCCACUCGGCGGUGACUGAAAAAUCCCAGGUGGUAGCGUGGGGAUUCGAACCCGCGUCGUCCAUCACGCGGUGAAUGCGGGUCCAGCACACUACCACUCAGCCACUGUCUUUCCUCAGUACCAGUAUACAUUUUUUUUAUGGGGGGAAGAAGAAAACUCGUAUAUUUAGUAGUGUGUUUCUCCUGUACCAAAUUAAUGACGUCCACUCAAACAACUUCUAUUUGGCAUCGUCGUCCAUCACGCGGUGAAUUUGGGUCCAGCACGCUACCACUCAGCCACCGCCUACCCUACGAUGCAGUCCCCAUAAAUGAUUAAAUAAUUUUUGUUUUGACUUUCGACGUUUGCGGCGUAAAUACAAACCGCGCGGGAAAUAGUUUGUUGACCGCGGCGGAAGAAAAGAACUGACAUUGGUGCAGUGUUUACAUUCCGCUCGUAUACCAUUAGGGGACCUUGGACACUGUGUUGUUUGGUUUCUGUUGCUUGUUUUUGCAACUUUGUGCCAUUAACCCAGCAACCUCGCCGGACCCAUUUUUGGGCUCCCGCGAGUCGGUCCGCUGAAACGGUGGACCCCAUACACGCCUCGGCUCAAAACGCCUAAUUCGAGCUAAUUGUAGGCGGGGCCGGCAUAGAGGAACCCACCAUGCAUGCCCUGGGUCAUUGUGGUGGGUGAGUGAUCUUGAGGUGGGGUUAUUGGUCAUAGGUGGUGCUGUAAGGUCAUGGCAGACUGAAUUAGCUAUCCAUACAGUAAUCACUUGUUAAAUUCUCUAUAGCAGACAACAAGUGACUCUCGGGUAGAUGCCACGCGUCACGAGACUGUUUAUUUUGUAACAAACACCACACGAAACAAUGGAGUUUGAGUAGAAGUAAAUAGUUUUAAUGGUUUUAUGGUUAUGAGAGGAGCAGGUACUCUGAUGUACAUUCCAUGCUCCUUUCUUAGUCUCAAAAUGCAGUGUAGUUUUGUCGUUUCUCAGCCACUUUUCAGCUUUCCUGUAGCCGAAGCACACGGGUUAAAACGCUUUGAAGGGAAUAUCUGUGUUUGUAAUCCAUGUGUGAGUCAGUAUAAGUGAGGGAGGCAAAUAUACAAGGCUUGGAAGUCGCUAGUUUGGCUGUGAUAAGGUAAGGCGUAGAGUUGCCCUUCACUCCAUGGUCCUGCAAUUACAGCAUUUUCCUGGCCUUAAAUCGUCCUUUGAAGGGAAUAUCUGUGUUUGUAAUCCAUGUGUGAGUCAGUAUAAGUGAGGGAGGCAAAUAUACAAGGCUUGGAAGUCACUAGUUUGGCUGUAAUAAGGUAAGGCGCAGAGUUGCCCUUAGUUCACUCCAUGGUCUUGCAAUUACAGCGUUUUCCCGGCCUUAAAACGUCCUUUGAAGGGAAUAUCUGUGUUUGUAAUCCAUGUGUGAGUCAGUAUAAGUGAGGGAGGCAAAUAUACAAGGCUUGGAAGUCGCUAGUUUGGCUGUGAUAAGGUAAGGCGCAGAGUUGCCCUUCACUCCAUGGUCCUGCAAUUACAGCAUUUUCCCGGCCCUAAAAUGUCCUUUGAAGGGAAUAUCUGUGUUUGUAAUCCAUGUGUGAGUCAGUAUAAGUGAGGGAGGCAAAUAUACAAGGCUUGGAGGUCGCUAGUUUGGCUGUAAUAAGGUAUGGCACAGAGUUGCCCUUCAUUCACUCCAUGGUCUUGCAAUUACAGCAUUUUCCCGGCCUUAAAUCGUCCUUUGAAGGUAAUAUCUGUGUUUGUAAUCCAUGUGUGAGUCAGUAUAUGUGAGGGAGGCAAAUAUACAAGGCUUGGAAGUCGCUAGUUUGGCUGUGAUAAGGUAAGGCGCAGAGUUGCCCUUCAUUCACUCCAAGGUCUUGCAAUUACAGCGUUUUCCUGGCCUUAAAUCGUCCUCUGAAGGGAAUAUCUGUG